Molecule: ribosomal RNA, 490 nt
Filed under: uncultured bacterium
Lineage: Bacteria
Description: partial 16S ribosomal RNA
Rfam family: Bacterial small subunit ribosomal RNA
Source: RNAcentral
AUUGAACGCUGGCGGCAGGCCUAACGCAUGCAAGUCGAACGGUAACAGGAAGCAGCUUGCUGCUUCGCUGACGAGUGGCGGACGGGUGAGUAAUGUCUGGGAAACUGCCUGAUGGAGGGGGAUAACUACUGGAGACGGUAGCUAAUACCGCAUAACGUCGCAAGACCAAAGAGGGGGACCUUAGGGCCUCUUGCCAUCGGAUGUGCCCAGAUGGGAUUAGCUAGUAGGUGGGGUAACGGCUCACCUAGGCGACGAUCCCUAGCUGGUCUGAGAGGAUGACCAGCCACACUGGAACUGAGACACGGUCCAGACUCCUACGGGAGGCAGCAGUGGGGAAUAUUGCACAAUGGGCGCAAGCCUGAUGCAGCCAUGCCGCGUGUAUGAAGAAGGCCUUCGGGUUGUAAAGUACUUUCAGCGGGGAGGAAGGGAGUAAAGUUAAUACCUUGGCUCAUUGACGUUACCCGCAGAAGAAGCACCGGCUAACUCCGUG